CCGCCGCCAUGUUUACUGCUGGCAAAAUAGGAGCGAGGGGGGGGAAGAGAAGGAUGCUGAGUGCCUUACUUGUUGUCUGUCAGUCUGGAUGGAGAGAAGCAGCACGGGAGGAGUGCACAGGCUGUUCUGCAGAAAAUUCCAGCCAAGUAGAUUGGUCAUGUCAGACAGCUUGGCAGUGUAUCAGCUGAAAUGGUAAAUGGACUUGGAGAAAAUUCCUGACAGCGGCGGCGAUAUUCACAGAGCGCUUCGGAUGCUGAUCUUUUUUGGGGAGAGAAUUUGGCCAUGAGAUGGUUUUGCUUUUGUCUUUUUGAAACCACAGCUGCUGAAUGUUAGUUACAUGGCUUAAAAUGUAUUUCCAUUCACAUAACUUUCCUGUAAGUAGCAGUUCUUUUAUUUUGUGUAUUUCAAUACAAAAGAUAUGAUGUACUAUACCCCCUCCCCAAACCCUGAACUAUGACUUAAAUGGUAAAAAUAACAUAUUACAAUGCUAAUAAAUACAGCACUGUAGAUACAGUAUGUGGUAACGGCGGGUUGUGUGGUGUCGGGCAGAUGUUAUUACCCUAGGGGCAGAUGGUAUUAACCCCUUGUGUUCGUGAUGCCAGGGCAUGGUUUAGUCUUGUCCACAAGAAGGUAUACCGCUGGACCCUGGGUUAGGCACGGGGGCAAUGAAGACACCGACGCCAAGUUAUGAAACAACGGUAGCUUUACUGAGGGUAGACAGUUGUUACAGUCUAUACAGUACAGCUAAGGCUCAAGGAGGUGACCGGUGACACAGAGACCUCGCAGGAUUGCUGGGACCUGUAGUCGACCGGGGAAUUUAGUGCAGGCCACGCUGGAUAGACAACAGACUUGACUUGACUGACAGGGCUAUGACUUUAGCUUACAGUGCACUUGAUUUGUGGCUGCAGGACUUGACCUGAGGCCUACAAUGCUCUGGACACACACUCUGAGAUGUCUUGACUGGACCUCAGGAACAAGAGAAUGAGGCUAGCUCCACCCAGGGCUUAUAUGGGGGAGACUAGCAGGGAGCCCAUAGGUCACCUUUGGGGUCAGCUGGUCACUAGUACCUCCUGGGUAACAAUCACAUGCGGGACCCCGGCGAUCUGACAUCUUUUCUCCUAUCCUUUGGAUAGGGGAUAAGAUGUCUAGGGGCGGAGUACCCCUUUAAACAGGUUUUCUAGACCCGUUUUUAUAUGCUAGAAAAGCAGCAUAAAUGUUUGAAUAAGUUCCCCCAUAGAGCAAUUUUCCGGAGUUUAGGGGCAGAGUACCCCUUUAAGGGUGCAUUCACACCACAUUUUGGGGAUAUGGCAUCUGGAUCCAAAGGGAGAAUUUAAUGAACAUUCACAGCCGUAUCCCCGCCAGACUUUCGUCGCACCCCAUUCAUUUGAAUGUGCCGGACGGAGUCAGAUAGUGACUCCGGUCGGCUCAUUUUUUAACCUUAUCUGCUGUAUCCCCAAAACGUGCUGUGAAUGCACCCUAAGGGUGUAUUCACACAUACAGUAUCCUGCACAUAUUUGAUGCGCAGGAUUUGAAGCUGCAAAUUUGGAACUGUGUUCACUCAUUUAGUUUAUAUUGAACUCUGCAGCUUCAAAUUCUGAGCUUCAAAUAUGCGCCGGAUACUGUAGGCUUAAUUCACACAUCAAUUAUGCACAAGAUUUGAAGCUGCAGAUUUUAUGCUGCAGAUUCAAAUGUAAACUAAAUUACUGAACACUGCAUCAAAUCUGCAGCUUUAACUCCUGCGCAUCAAAUAUGCCUACUAUGCUGUACGUGUGAAUAGACCUUUAGGGUGUAUUCACACAUCAGUUAGGCACAAGAUUUUCUGCUGCAGAUUUUCUGUAGCAGAGUUAAGUGUAAACUAAUAGAAUGUACAGAGCUUUAAAUCUGCAGCUUUAUAUCCUUUGCAUUAAAUAUGCGCAGGAUACUGUAUGUGUGAAUACAAACAUUAGAGUCUAUUCACACAUGCAGUAUCCUGAGCGUAUUUGAUGCUAUUUUCAGUCAUUUAGUUUACAUUAAAAUCUGCAGCAUCAAAUAUGCACAGAAUACUCUGUGUGAAUACACCCUAAGGGUACGUUCACACGGGCGGAUUUAUUUCCGGGUUU
Molecule: long non-coding RNA, 2099 nt
Organism: Hyla sarda
Lineage: Eukaryota; Metazoa; Chordata; Amphibia; Anura; Hylidae
Exons: 3
Source: RefSeq, a predicted model, not a curated record